RNAcentral lists this non-coding RNA (26 nucleotides) under Rattus norvegicus (Norway rat). Lineage: Eukaryota; Metazoa; Chordata; Mammalia; Rodentia; Muridae. RNAcentral also lists the same sequence under 1 other name. The record is from RNAcentral.
ACAACCCUAGGAAGGGGUGCCAUUCA